GCGCAUGCUCCCGAUUGCGGGACCGGUGAUGGUAAGAUUAGACCUGUCAGGGCAUAUGGGCGGAAACGAAAACAUCAUUAAAUGCCUUAGUGUAUGCUUAUACUUCCUGCCUAUAGGUGACUGGAAUAAGCAUGCAAAAUGUUCUACUAAUUGGGGAGAAUCUUGGUGGCUGUGCAUCUAUUUCUGGAUCAUUGCUUGGGGAGAAUACUGGCUGUCAAUGUGUUUGUUGUCAAGAAAUUGAUAUUUUGGAGAAAACCCAUAAGGCGUAUUGUAUUUAUUGAUGUAUUAGGAAGUUUUUCUGCACUUGGAGUUUUGAUUGCAAUUUGACAAAUGUCUGGAUUGGUUUUCAUUUCAAGCCAAACUUUCUUGUGUUUUUGUAUGUUGUUAGCUACAGUAAAGUGGGUUGUAAGAGAGUAAUUUGUUUUUUUAUUUUUGUUAUUUUUGUGAGAAACAAAUGUGUGGUAUUGUUGAUAAG
This is a long non-coding RNA of Quercus lobata, 475 nucleotides long. RefSeq lists it as uncharacterized. The transcript is spliced from 3 exons. NCBI's taxonomy places the organism in Eukaryota, Viridiplantae, Streptophyta, Magnoliopsida, Fagales, Fagaceae. The record is from RefSeq and is a predicted model, not a curated record.